GUGGUCCUUUAAUUCAGUUGCACACGCGCACAGCACUGAUUUAGUUACAGACACAUGUGAUAAUGCUUAUGAAUUAACCAUUCCAAAACAAGGCCUCAACAUGCAGGUAUGUAGACAUUGGUUGUACUGUGUUUCACUUUGCACUAGCUUUGCACAAUCUGCUAGACAAAUUCCUGACAAAAACUCCAGAAAUGUAUCCCCAUCCCCAGCAACGCGCGUUAAAUAUCUAC
This is a non-coding RNA of Pelobates cultripes (western spadefoot toad), 230 nucleotides long. The record is from the annotation of a GenBank genome assembly. Lineage: Eukaryota; Metazoa; Chordata; Amphibia; Anura; Pelobatidae.